This 1065-nucleotide long non-coding RNA is filed under the name Junco hyemalis (dark-eyed junco). Its description in RNAcentral is "lncRNA (ENSJHYG00000001005.1)". The record is from RNAcentral. Lineage: Eukaryota; Metazoa; Chordata; Aves; Passeriformes; Passerellidae.
AUGUCUGGGCAUGAGGAAACCACUGCUCCCACCAAUACCAGCUCAAAAUGCCAGCAAACCCAGUGGCCAUUGUGUCUCCAGUGCUUGCCUUGCCCCCACUGCCGUGUCCAUUGCACACCUGCUGAGGGCAGCAGGGACAGGCCCAGGGAUGGCAAAUCCCCCCAGGGACCGUGGAACAGGGGAGGAGCAGAGCAGCUGCUGGGCUGUGCUGCCCUCAGCUGCACAUCUGGGGCUUCAGGCUCUCAGGACCUGCUCUGGGCCCUGCAGCCAAGCCCAGCAACCCAGCUCAGCCCAGGCAGCACAGCCUGGCACUGCCUGGCACUGCCUGGCACUGCCCGGCAGCCCCUCUGCAGGGCAGGACCCAUCACACCAGCCUGGGAACAGGGCAGCAGGGGCUGCCAGUUUGGGAUUAUGGAGUGUAGUCCUGGGAUGUUGGACCCCUGGCACUCUCAUCACGAGACAGAAAACAUAACAAAUCCCUGGGAACGAGGGGUCCCUCCUGAGCCCAGAGCCCGCUGGCAGCACUGGUGGGAGCUGCCCCUCUUUGCCAAGGCCAGGGCAGCUCCAGGGGGCAUGGGCAGCCCCAGAGAGCCCCAGUGCCUCUCUCCAGGAGCACAGCAUCCCAGGAUGUGCCUGUCAGCAGCAGGAAUGCAGGCCAUAAAUCACGGGGGCUGUGAUGGGAGCUGGCGGCAGGCCAGGGCCGUGGCAGCCCCUCGUGCUCCCCUUGCCAAAGGGAACAGGCAGGGCACGGGGUGCUGGCGGUGCUGCCACCACACGCAAUCCGUCUGCAAUGCUGCAGCCUGGAUCUGGAUCAGAAAGGGCCAAAGGUUGGAUGAUUUAAUUUUUUCAUUUUUCCUUGCAGUACAGCAGGAAAUAGCUGGGAUAGUUACAUACCUGGCGAGAUGGCUGAGGAGCCAGGGGCCAAGAAACACAGAGGAUCUGGCAUGGCCCAGAGCAUCUGUGCUGCACACAGAGCCUGCAGGCACCUGGGGCUGGGGGGUCUGCACACCUGACCCGGGACUGGGAGGUCACAGCAAGGACCCUCAAGGCUUCAGGAACUGGUAG